UCGCAACACGAACUUGUCGCAGUUGAAAUUCGAGCCAAUACUUCACGAUGAGUUCCAUGCGUCCACCAGCAGGUGGCACUAGUGGCCUGAGUAGCAGACAUAUUUUUUUGUUAUAGAUGGAACGGUAGGGGUUGUUGACUUGUUGUGACUUGUGAGUGGCUGAGUGUGAUUUGUGAGACGCUGCGAACUUGUGAUGAAGAAAACAGUUACACAGUGACCAGGGAUUGUCAUAGUGAAUAAUUCGAGGAAAAUUUGUGGACUUGUUGACUUGUCCAAAUUCGUAAAUCACCACGCAUGGACCGAACUGAAAUGAGAGAAAGAUUAUCUCGUCUGCUUUUGAACUAAAGAAAAGAUAUUUUAAUUUUCUGAAAAAGAAAAACAGCAAAUUGACCAAUUUAUAAGUUUGGUUUGACGUGGGAAAUGUGUUUUUCACCAGCUGGGUUGAAUUUUAGCUGCAUGACGAUAAAGAAAGUCUGAAACCCAAACUUCAAACAACUUAUUUUUUAUAACAUCUCUUGGUUUGUGAUUCUUCUUUCUGCAUAAAAAGUCUACACAAACAGAUAGUCUAACGGAACCUGAACAUCAAUAAAGG
Daphnia pulex (common water flea) is the source of this 592-nucleotide long non-coding RNA. RefSeq lists it as uncharacterized. Lineage: Eukaryota; Metazoa; Arthropoda; Branchiopoda; Diplostraca; Daphniidae. The transcript is spliced from 3 exons. The record is from RefSeq and is a predicted model, not a curated record.